UUAGUAACGCGUGGGAACGUGCCCUUCUCGGCGGAAUAGCCACUGGAAACGGUGAGUAAUACCGCAUACGCCCGUUCGGGGGAAAGAUUUAUCGGAGAAGGAUCGGCCCGCGUUAGAUUAGAUAGUUGGUGGGUAACGGCCUACCAAGUCUACGAUCUAUAGCUGGUUUUUAGAGGAUGAUCAGCAACACUGGGACUGAGACACGGCCCAGACUCCUACGGGAGGCAGCAGUGGGGAAUCUUAGACAAUGGGCGCAAGCCUGAUCUAGCCAUGUCGCGUGUGUGAUGAAGGUCUUAGGAUCGUAAAGCACUUUCGCCAGGGAUGAUAAUGACAGUACCUGGUAAAGAAACCCCGGCUAACUCCGUG
RNAcentral lists this ribosomal RNA (366 nucleotides) under uncultured bacterium. Its description in RNAcentral is "bacterial SSU rRNA". It matches the Rfam family "Bacterial small subunit ribosomal RNA", at positions 107 to 507 of the family's 1533-position model. The record is from RNAcentral.